This 273-nucleotide ribosomal RNA is filed under the name uncultured bacterium. RNAcentral describes it as "partial 16S ribosomal RNA". It matches the Rfam family "Bacterial small subunit ribosomal RNA", at positions 85 to 354 of the family's 1533-position model. The record is from RNAcentral.
CCGCCGGCGACCGGCGCACGGGUGAGUAACACGUAUGCAACCUGGCCGUGACAGAUGGAUAACCGGGAGAAAUCCCGCCUAAUACAACAUAAUGCCGGGAGGGGACAUCCCCUGCCGGCCAAAGGGGGCGACCCCGGUCACGGAUGGGCAUGCGGUGCAUUAGGUAGUUGGUGGGGCAACGGCCCACCAAGCCGACGAUGCGUAGGGGUUCUGAGAGGAAGGUCCCCCACAUUGGAACUGAGACACGGUCCAAACUCCUACGGAAGGCAGCAG